UACGUAGGGUGCAGGCGUUAAUCGGAAUUACUGGGCGUAAAGCGUGCGCAGGCGGUCUGCUAAGACAGGUGUGAAAUCCCCGGGCUUAACCUGGGGAUUGCGCUUGUAACUGGCAGGCUUGAGUGUGGCAGAGGGGGGUGGAAUUCCAGGUGUAGCAGUGAAAUGCGUAGAGAUCUGGAGGAACACCGAUGGCGAAGGCAGCCCCCUGGGCUAACACUGACGCUCAUGCACGAAAGCGUGGGGAGCAAACAGG
This 253-nucleotide ribosomal RNA is filed under the name uncultured bacterium. Its description in RNAcentral is "partial 16S ribosomal RNA". It matches the Rfam family "Bacterial small subunit ribosomal RNA", at positions 524 to 776 of the family's 1533-position model. The record is from RNAcentral.